CAGUAGCCGCGGUAAUACGAGGGGGGCAAGCGUUGUUCGGAAUUAUUGGGCGUAAAGGGCGCGUAGGCGGUUUGGCAAGUUUGGUGUGAAAUCUUCGGGCUCAACUCGAAGUCUGCACCGAAAACUGCCGGGCUUGAGUAUGGGAGAGGUGAGUGGAAUUUCCGGUGUAGCGGUGAAAUGCGUAGAUAUCGGAAGGAACACCUGUGGCGAAAGCGGCUCACUGGACCAUUACUGACGCUGAGGCGCGAAAGCUAGGGGAGCAAACAGGAUUAGAUACCCCCGUAGUCCCUGUCUCUUAUAC
RNAcentral lists this ribosomal RNA (301 nucleotides) under uncultured bacterium. RNAcentral's name for it is "partial 16S ribosomal RNA". It matches the Rfam family "Bacterial small subunit ribosomal RNA", at positions 509 to 807 of the family's 1533-position model. The record is from RNAcentral.